GAGCAAGGAUCUAAUAGUGGCUGGAACAAACCAGUCUCUUUUCUUCUCCACUCAACAAAUGAAUCCUUCACAUGUGGUGAGUUUAACCAAUUUUGAGAACCCGUAUAGUCGAUCUGCACGUCCACAAGUCAAAGAAAUGAUCCGUAAUUAGAUAAAUUUAAAGACCGUGGUUCUUCAACCCACUUAUCACUUGUUGAAGAAAUUUGUUUGGGUGCUUGGAGUAAGUUAUUGGCUUGGUAAUGCUCUAUUGGUUUCUAUUUUCUCAAAGUUUAUUGAUACUCAAAUCUUUAUUGGCUUAAUUGUUUGUGUAGUUUUUAGGGGGAUGUAUUGGAUUGAGAUUUUAAAAGACUAUUUUGGCAAAAGAAAAUCUUGAAGAUUUUGAAAGACUUUGUGAGAGAUGGUGAAUUCUUCGGUACACUUAUUAUGUGGAUGUGUACCGGUACACCGCUGAUGUGUUUAACAAGUGGCAGAUAUUUAAUGCAGAUUUUGUUUCUUUAUUAAAUUUUCUAUAUUAAACACUACUUUUUAAUAUUUGCAAAUAUAUCCUUAACAUAAAUAUAACAUUCAAUUUUAUUCCACAAUAUAAAUCAAAUCUUUCAAGCAAGAUUUUCACGUUUUUUAAAACAAUUUUUUUAACAAGAUUAAAAUAUUUUGAUAUUAUUAUAAUAUCCUAUCAAAUAAUAUGAUAUUAGUAUUUUAACAACAUAUGGUAUAAUUUACUUUUCAAAAAAAAAGUAAGAUUUUAACAACUUAUUAUUAUUAUUAUUAUUAGAUCCAACUAUGAUUUUAAUAUAUUUCAAUAUUCUUAACUGUCAAUUUUUGUUUUAAUGUUAUUGGUUAUUAAUACAUAUAAUUAUUAAAAUGCAUUUAUUUAUUUUUUUGCACAAAUUUUUUUUAUAAUUUUUAAUGUGUAUAUAUUUUAUUGUAAUACUAUUAAUAUUUAGUGAUUUGUAAUACUCUAUAUGGGCAUCAGAUUCGGAUUAGCAGGUAUAUAAUUGUUUUUAGUCUCUGCGAAAUUACUAAAUUUAAUUUUUCUUCUUCAUAAAUGAACAUCAUGUUUUUAUCCCUACAAAAUAUUUAUUCAUGCAAUUUUAGUCAUGUUGUUAAGUUGAUGUAUAGUUAUGAUGAUUUUGCAAAUUUAUAUAUAGAGUAUUAUAAAAAGUUUGUCCAAAAACAAGGAGCUCAAAAUUUGAUUUUUAGGUCAAAUUAAAUAUACUUUACUUUUAUUUUGAUAUUUUGAUUUAGAAAAUUCAUAUUUAAUUCAUCUCAUUUUGAAAAAUACUAAAGUUUUGUAAAUGAACUUUUUGUAUUAUUUCAAUUAGGUCAAGUUGAACUACUUACGCAAAUAAAUAAACUCUUAUGUAUUAUUCAUAAGCUUGUCAAAGUAUUUAUGAAAAAAUAACUUAUGAAGAUACAAUUUUUGUUAGGUGAAACUUAUAAAUUAAUAUAAAAGUUUACUUAUUUGUAUAAAAUAUUUGUUAUAAGCUAAAAAAUAAAAAGCAAAAUAAAAUUUGGUCCAUGAGGUAUUCUUAAGUAAUGGUUAGUUCAGUUAGUUGAAAUUUGACCAUUAUUUAUUUGUUAUUUUUUAUCUUGUUUCAAAAACAAACAAAAAAAAAGUUAUUUUUUAUGAGUAAAAAAUAAGUUAAUUUAAAUAGGCCCUAAAAGAUAGAAAUUUUCUAAAAAUUAGAAAUUUAUUAAAAAAUAAAAAGUAAUAUAAAAAUUGGCCCAUGAGUGAUUAGAAACCAUGUCCAUACAUUAACAAAGCAUACAUCUUACCAACAAGAAAAAUGAUCAUCUUGUUAAUCAAAUUUCUUUGUCUUUAUAUUAUAUUAAUGUUUUGUUUUAUAUUAUUUUUAAAAAAAAACUAAUAUUAAAACAGCGUCCUAACUAUAUUCCCUAAUGUCAUUUAUGUAUGCGCUAUUUUGUUUGAAGCUACUCACGAGCUAGACUUAUCAAGAUCCAAUUUGGUCUGACAUGCUUGAAAGGAUUAGGUACGUAGAUACUCCGUGUUGAUGGUAGUAGUUGCUGGUGUCUUUGGUCUUUCCUGUGCUCGUGGGGCUUGACCACAUUGACUGAUCAUCCCUCGAUCCGGCGUUCAAUUAGUUCUGGGUUACUUUAACAAUAUUUGAUUUGUCAGAGGUUGAUACAAAGUUUCCACUUUGUCCGGUCUAUCUCAAUAAUUGUAUCAUUUCAUGAUUUCAGACUGUUUAGUUUGAAAAAGUCAUCAUCACUUGUUGCUUGUUGUAGGGAGUUGUGGGUACGUGUGUCGUUNNNNNNNNNNNNNNNNNNNNNNNNNNNNNNNNNNNNNNNNNNNNNNNNNNGCCUUAAUAGAUACUAGGGACUUCUAUUUUGUCUUCUAGGAUUAGAUAAGAGUUUGUAUGCUUCAUUGUUCUACGUUUAUUUCCUUGGGGCAAGGCCUAGUCCCCAUUUGUAAUUAUCUUAUUUUUCUUCUUUUUAAAAAUAAAAUGAGCUAUAAGUGGAAGACAGAAAAUGAUAGGGGUGCCAACAUUGUUGGGAUAUCUAUUCCUACCUUGAUAUAUAUAAGUUUUUAGUUUAUAAAAAAAAAAAAAGAAGUUCUUAGUGAUUAUAAAUAUAAAAAAACACACGAGACAAAUAUUUAUCACUGAUACAUAAAAAAAUUGAAUAAAUAUUUAUCAUUAAUAUUUAUAAUUUAUAAACAAAAUCAAACAUGAGACAUAUAAUUAUCAAAAAUCAAUAAGUUAAAAUAAAUUUAUUAACAUAUUAAAAUCAUAGUAAUUAAAAAUCAAAAAGUUCAUACGAAUGCACGAGUUUUUAAACAAGUUAAAAUAUUAAAAUCAUAUUUUUUUUAUAGAUUAUUAAAACCUUAGUUAGAUCCAAUAAUAAUAAUACUUAACAAAAAAAAAUCAUACGUUAUUUUUUUUUUAAGAAAAUACCAUAUGUUUUUAAAAUACUAAAAUCAUAUUAUAAUAUUAUUAUAAUAUUACAUUAUUUGAAUCUUGUUAAAAAAAUAGUUGAAAAAUCUAGGUUGAAAGAUUUGAUGCAUACUUUGAUUUAUUGUGGAAGAUGAUUGAUGAUUAUAUUUAUGUGAAGGAUACAUUUGUAAAUAUUAAAAAGUAGUGUUUAAUAUAUAAAUUUUGUGUAAAAAAAAAAUAUAUAGAAAAUCUAAUAAAGAAAUAAAAUCUACAAUAAAUGAUUGCCAUUUGUUAACCACCUCAGCGGUGUACCGGUACACAUCCACGUAAUAUGUGUACUGAAGUGUUCACCUUGUGAGAUUAUAUUGAUUUUGUAAGAUUUUAAAUGAUUUUUUUGAAAGAAUUUUUACAUUCAAGAUUCUUAACACAAGACUCUGUGAGAUUUUAUAACAUAGACUUUUGAGAUUUCAAAGAACUUUAUGGAAUUUUAACAUUUAAAUGACUCAAUAAAUUCAAUACAAAUUUCUUCCAAAAAUAUAAUAAUCAAUCAAUCAUUCCUUAAAAAACAUCAAGGAGUAAAUAUAAACAAAUAAAAUCAAUGAAUCAAUUUUUUUUUUUAAAUAAUCAUAAAAAAGAACAAGAGAAUGGUUGCAGAAUUAUAUAUAUAUAUAUAUUUCUUGGUUACAAAAUUAUGUUAAAGGUUGUAGAAUUAUAUAUAUAUUUCUCGGUUACAAAAUUAUGUUAAAGAUCAAUUUUAUAAGGUAGCAGAAAAUCGUUUUCAAUAAAAAAAAAAUCAGAAAAUCGUUUUGAACAAUUGAGUUUCAAAGGAAUAGAAAUAUUAUGUACGUCCCUUCCAUGACAACCUUCAGGUGGAGAAAAAGAAUGGUUGAGUACUUGAGUUGCAUAUGUUAGGAAAUUGUGGUGGUGGAGAAAAAGAAUGUGGAGUGAGAGAGAACGAUCAAGAAACACACAUGAAAAAAAGUCUGGAGUGAGUUUGAAAAAGUCUUGAUGUUUUACGUGAGAUUGUUGAAAGAAAAAUGUAUGUGUAUUUUCAACUAAAAAGUCUCACACAAUCCAUUAAAAUCCAUUCAAAGAAAGAAUUCAUUCAAAUCUAUAUAUUUUUGAAUACCACAAGACAUUUUAUAAAUCAUGAGAAAUCUUAAUUGAAUACCAACAGAUUUUGUUGGAUUGAAAAAAAAAUCUUGAUUGUCUUAAUAUUGAAUACCACAAAAUUUGUUUACAUUUUAUAAAAGUCUUGAUUGAAUACCUCAAGAUAUUUUUAUUAUAAAAAAGUCUUUCAAAAUCCCUUGAAAUCUCAAUUCAAUACACCCCCUUAGAAUGUGGUUGAGGAUUGUCCUAACACAUUGUUUCUCUUUAUGUCUGUACUUCAUUUGUUUUAUCUAAUGCAAAAUGAUAUUU
This 4313-nucleotide long non-coding RNA is filed under the name Trifolium pratense (red clover). RNAcentral describes it as "long non-coding RNA (TPRA_LNC013745)". Lineage: Eukaryota; Viridiplantae; Streptophyta; Magnoliopsida; Fabales; Fabaceae. The record is from RNAcentral.